This 387-nucleotide ribosomal RNA is filed under the name uncultured bacterium. RNAcentral describes it as "bacterial SSU rRNA". It matches the Rfam family "Archaeal small subunit ribosomal RNA", at positions 339 to 726 of the family's 1478-position model. The record is from RNAcentral.
GGGCGAAAACUUUACAAUGCUGGCAACAGCGAUAAGGGAACCUCGAGUGCCAGGUUACAAAUCUGGCUGUCGAGACGCCUAAAAAGCAUUUCAUAGCAAGGGCCGGGCAAGACCGGUGCCAGCCGCCGCGGUAACACCGGCGGCUCGAGUGGUAACCGUUAUUAUUGGGUCUAAAGGGUCUGUAGCCGGCCGGAUAAGUCUCUUGAGAAAUCUGGCAGCUUAACUGUCAGGCUUUCAGGAGAUACUGUCUGGCUCGAGGCCGGGAGAGGUGAGAGGUACUUCAGGGGUAGGGGUGAAAUCUUGUAAUCCUUGAAGGACCACCAGUAGCGAAGGCGUCUCACCAGAACGGACCUGACGGCAAGGGACGAAAGCUAGGGGCACGAACCG